RNAcentral lists this ribosomal RNA (243 nucleotides) under uncultured Actinomycetales bacterium. RNAcentral's name for it is "partial 16S ribosomal RNA". It matches the Rfam family "Bacterial small subunit ribosomal RNA", at positions 88 to 334 of the family's 1533-position model. Lineage: Bacteria; Bacillati; Actinomycetota; Actinomycetes; Actinomycetales. The record is from RNAcentral.
UACUCGAGUGGCGAACGGGUGAGUAACACGUGGGUGAUCUGCCCUGCACUUCGGGAUAAGCCUGGGAAACUGGGUCUAAUACCGGAUAGGAGCCAUUUUCAGUGUGAUGGUUGGAAAGUUUUUUCGGUGUAGGAUGAGCUCGCGGCCUAUCAGCUUGUUGGUGGGGUAAUGGCCUACCAAGGCGGCGACGGGUAGCCGGCCUGAGAGGGUGGACGGCCACAUUGGGACUGAGAUACGGCCCAG